RNAcentral lists this ribosomal RNA (250 nucleotides) under uncultured bacterium. RNAcentral describes it as "partial 16S ribosomal RNA". It matches the Rfam family "Bacterial small subunit ribosomal RNA", at positions 524 to 773 of the family's 1533-position model. The record is from RNAcentral.
UACGAAGGUGGCAAGCGUUACUCGGAAUUACUAGGCGUAAAGGGCAGGUAGGCGGUUUGGUAAGUCUGUUGUGGAAGCUCCCGGCUUAACCGGGAGAGGUCAACGGAAACUACCAGGCUUGAGUAUAGGAGAGGUUACUGGAAUUCCCGGUGUAGCGGUGAAAUGCGCAGAUAUCGGGAGGAACACCAAUGGCGAAAGCAGGUAACUGGACUAUUACUGACACUAAGCUGCGAAAGCUAGGGGAGCAAAC